AUUGAACGCUGGCGGAAUGCUUUACACAUGCAAGUCGAACGGUAGAGGGGGCAACCCCUCGAGAGUGGCGAACGGGUGAGUAAUAUAUCGGAACGUGCCCAGUCGUGGGGGAUAACGUAGCGAAAGUUACGCUAAUACCGCAUACGAUCUAAGGAUGAAAGCGGGGGAUCGCAAGACCUCGCGCGCUUGGAGCGGCCGAUAUCAGAUUAGGUAGUUGGUGGGGUAAAGGCUCACCAAGCCAACGAUCUGUAGCUGGUCUGAGAGGACGACCAGCCACACUGGAACUGAGACACGGUCCAGACUCCUACGGGAGGCAGCAGUAGGGAAUUUUGGACAAUGGACGCAAGUCUGAUCCAGCCAUUCCGCGUGCAGGAUGUAGGCCCUCGGGUUGUAAACUGCUUUUGUACGGAACGAAAAGGUCUCUCUUAAUACGGGGGGCUCAUGACGGUACCGUAAGAAUAAGCACCGGCUAACUACGUGCCAGCAGCCGCGGUAA
This 496-nucleotide ribosomal RNA is filed under the name uncultured bacterium. RNAcentral's name for it is "partial 16S ribosomal RNA". It matches the Rfam family "Bacterial small subunit ribosomal RNA", at positions 30 to 523 of the family's 1533-position model. The record is from RNAcentral.